This is a long non-coding RNA of Xiphophorus hellerii (green swordtail), 3796 nucleotides long. RefSeq lists it as uncharacterized. The record is from RefSeq and is a predicted model, not a curated record. The transcript has 4 exons. NCBI's taxonomy places the organism in Eukaryota, Metazoa, Chordata, Actinopteri, Cyprinodontiformes, Poeciliidae.
CUGUUUCUCUCAUUUUCUCCAGCAUACCAGGACCUGAGUAUCCUGCUGCAGCUGCAUCAAAAAGAUCAAUCGCAAAUGUGAUGCUCUCUGCAGAUCUCCCACAGGUGUGGGCCUUCCAAACCCCUUUGAGACAAAUUGCACAUUUAUCCCCUCUGAAACGCCCACAUGAAGGCUGCAGCAUGUGCAUGUACUAUAGGAGAAAUGAGGUUUAGAGUCAGUUUUGCAACAGCCAGUGAACCCCUACUUGGUCAACCCGGGACUCUGGCUCAGCUGGAUGUGGACUUGGCCGGGCACUGCCACUCUGGGCGCCAGUUCCAACCUAGCACCAAGGUGAUGAAGGAAGACUCUGUCCCCAGUAACCCUUCCUUUACCCACGUCUACAGAGCGCAUCGGUGUGCUUAAAAGUGUGGUCCUGCCCAGGUGCUUCUGAACAAGGAGUUAUGACAAUGGUCCAUCAUCUGAGCGGCAUAUCAAAGUGGCCAAUGAUGAUUUGAUGAUGGUUGUUGGUCCCACCAUAAGGGUAGGGCCUCUCGCUUCAGAAAGAUGUGCGCUCAUCAUAGAGGUGCCUUUUGUCUUUGAUUGAAGCCUUCAUUUUAAUGUCGUGCCUGGUUUACCUGUCGUAAUCUGAAUGCAUUUCAACAGAGGAAUUGAAGAUGACAGCAAAAUGAAAAUGAGAUUUAUUUCCUUUUCUGCUUUGCUGUCCCACCAGGUUUCAGCCCAUAUGAGCACCACUGCCCGCCACCUGUUUUGUAGGAAAACAAUGUUCAGCACAAGCAUUCCCAAAUCCAAAAGGGGAUAAAGGGAAAGGAGAGGUAAAGGCAAAGCAUUUGGUUUGAGCAUGCUGAGCGCAUACCAGGGCUCAGCUCACAGAUUCCAAAGGCAAGCUGAUGGAAGCGAGCCAGGCUCCUUCACACGGGACAGGGGCAGAAAUGAAAAAUGAGGGAGAGGACAGACAGAGAUGGAUUGAGCGGAGCUGCUAGAAGGGGGCAUUAAAAAGAUUUUCUCUUUAAUCAAAACCCCAGGAUGCUGAUGGAAAAAGGGGGGAAAGAUGGGGAGAAGGAAAGAAUGACAAAGAUAAAGGGAAGAAGAUCGAGGAGAGCUGCAGCUGGAGUAUCUCAAAGCCUCCCACCUCUCACCCCAUAACCCCUGUCUGCCUUCUGUUUGCCCUCAUACCCAACUAUCUCAACCCCCAGCAAAAAGAAAAAAGCAGCUACUGUCUCCUUGCUAAUGCCCCAAAAUGUAGUGGAUAAAAGAGAGAGAUGAAUCCGGCAGCUCAUGGAAUAAGGAUGCAGUGUGAAUUGUUGACCUCAGCUGCCAGGUGACAGAGAGGCUCUGAGGGAACCAGGCACCACUUCACCAGGAUUGAUGGUUCCAGGAGAUUCAGCAAGACAACCGAGCCACGAGUGGUUUCUCAUGUUCUCUCCAGUUUGUCUUUCUCCCACACAUGGUCACAUCACAGCCCCGAUUCCUCGGAUCCUAGACGCUGAGCCCUUAGGUGAGACUUAGUGGACGUGUGGAGGACAGGUUGUGCUCUUUGUUCAGCGACAACACUAUUCUUCCUUCUACAAGUAACUCACUGACAGACUGUUCUGCUGUCACAAAAAAGAUGGAUGAAAACACUUUGUGCUCAAGAGCGCAGAGGACAAGAAUGUCUCAGAUUUGACCUUUCACCUACACAAGCACAGCUUUUCUCAAGAUUCUUAAAUUUAGUCAAAAUAAACUUCUCAUCCACUUAGGUGUCAUCCAAAAAAUAUGUACAAGUUUGUCUUACAUGGAUGUAUUGAUUUUUCCAAUUACUGAAGCUUAGGAGGCUGAAAAAUAAUUCACAAUAAUUUCAAAUAUUGUUAACUUGUAAAAGCGUGAAUGUAAGCAUAUUUUAUUUACUCUAUAGAAUGAAUACGUGUUUGUAGUAUUCAGUCUACAAACCCCUAAGUGAUUUGGAAAAUAUAUAAAAAUUCUAAGUGUUGCUGCUUGUUUAAUUCACUGUAUCUUUUGUGUGACCUCAAAUGUGCCUGAUUGGUUGAUCAGUUGCUGCUGGUAACUCCUCUCUCUAGUGUUCAUGUAUCAGUUAUUGUAAAAUAUAUAAUAAAACAGAUAUGUAAAAAAAAAAAGAUUUUUUUCUGAAAGUUACGUAGCGUAGCUGUAAGAUAUUUUUUUGUGAGGACAAAUCAGAGUGGACUGUGCAAAAACUUAUAUAGUAAUUCAACUUGAAAGUCCUGUAGCAGCAUAAUUUAUAUACAUGAGGCUGGAAAAUUUAAUUGCCAUUUUGCCGCUAUGACUGAUGAUUGUAAAUUGUGUCAUAUCUAAAUUUUGAUUUUAAUUCAUAUCUACUGCAUGUGCUAAUUUCAAACAAUCCCUACUUAAUUUGGCAUCUACUUGACUGCAGAAACCCAUUUUUUUAUGUACAUGCAAAACUUUUGUAUUCUGAGAGUGGUGAAGUGGAAAUUCACUUGGUCCUUUCAGGUGGAAUGAAUAUUACUCAGUAGUUUCAUCAUGUUUCAUCCUUCAGACUUCAUUUGUUAGAUUUCAAGGCUGACUUGUUAAUGUACAUUGACCUAAUUGACACUAAAUUUUGCUAUUGAAAUCAGCAUAAUAUGGGAAAUGGUGGAAAAGAGAAGAACAGCGAGAAGAAAACAGAGAGUCAAGGAAAUAAUGCUAAAAAGAUGCUGCAUAAAUUUGGGUUUAAACUGAGACCAGAGGAAUAUGAGAUCCAUCCUUUUGAGACAGAGUGUCAUCUCAGGCCAGAUUACUGUCUCCAGUGCCACUCAGCUGGACCCCUCUGACAAGAAAUCCUCCAUCUAGGAGGCCUUGUAAGCCAUGCCAUCAGAGGGUGGGGUUCGGGUCAGGGGUUGGAAGUUACAGGGUUGACAGACAAGAGAGAUUGAUGUCCGUUGACAAAACUUGAGCCCAGCAGACCUGCCUGUUCCCUGGGGGCCAAAUGAGAAGGGGAUCAGGCCGAUACUAUCCCCCCUCCCCCAUCCACUUCUCAUCCACACACGCCCCCACACACAGUUUGACUCCCCCCAGUAAACCAACCCUUAAUGCAACCCUUACUGUCCUGCUCUGUCUUGUUUGAUCAUGUGCUAAACUGUGAGGGGAGGCAGCGGAAGGCCUCAGUAAAAUUAGUGCCCUGACAUAUCAUUACUUGCGAAUGCCUGCAGUAAGUGUGGCUGUCAGCUAGAGCAACAGGCUGUCACAGGGAGAAUGUAAGAUGUGAGGAGCUACAGCCCCUCCAUUCAUGCUGUCCAGUACAGUGGACAGUCACUCAGACCUAAACUAAACAACUUGAAUACCAAUGAUUAAUGGUGAUGUAUGGCAUUUGUUAGUAUUACCUCAAAAUUAGCAGUGGUGGAAAUCACCCUGUCAUCUUUAGGAUAAAAGACCUGCAUGUUCAUCGAUUUGGUGAUUUAGGUUUUUUUUUUUAAAUCAAAUAAUUGAGUGGUAUAUUAAAAUUUAUAUAAAUUUCUAUGUUUAGUUUUAUAUAAAUUCCUUGCAAAUUGAUUUAUAGCACUUUUUUUCAUGGCAAAACUAAACAGUGUAUUUUUGUUGCUUUCUAUGUGAUAAACAGAAACUAUUGUUUAAUUAUGAAGUGUAAUGAAAAAUAUUUUUUAACAUUUGGUUUAGGGAUUCUGAACUGGAUCUAGGUCUUGACUUUUACUGGGUUAUUUCAACCCAUGAAUCUGCUUUCAUCUAAGCUAUUUUAAUGUUUGUGUUUCGCUUUCUAGUGGCCUUCCUGGAAGACGCACCUCCUUAUUUGUCUCAAUGAACCAUUAUUCGUUAAAAAAAGGUGCACUGA